Molecule: transfer RNA, 74 nt
Filed under: Actinomycetes bacterium
Lineage: Bacteria; Bacillati; Actinomycetota; Actinomycetes
Also listed under: 1 other name
Description: Actinobacteria bacterium tRNA-Arg
Rfam family: tRNA
About the family: Transfer RNA (tRNA) molecules are approximately 80 nucleotides in length. Their secondary structure includes four short double-helical elements and three loops (D, anti-codon, and T loops).
Source: RNAcentral
GCCCCCGUAGCUCAACUGGAUAGAGCGCCGGCCUUCUAAGCCGGGGGUUGCAGGUUCGAGUCCUGCCGGGGGCG